RNAcentral lists this non-coding RNA (166 nucleotides) under human gut metagenome. The record is from RNAcentral.
CAUUGUGAGGUGGAAUCUGAAGGAAGGUGGAGGCAAAAUCGCUAGUAUGACAAACAGAAAUCACACUAGUCUAUAGUUAAGGAUGAGGUUGCAAUACAAACCAACAUCCAAUAACUACGCAGAAUUAACUAUGGUAAAUGUGGCAGAUAUAUGGAGAGAAAGAAAC